RNAcentral lists this ribosomal RNA (460 nucleotides) under uncultured bacterium. Its description in RNAcentral is "partial 16S ribosomal RNA". It matches the Rfam family "Bacterial small subunit ribosomal RNA", at positions 338 to 795 of the family's 1533-position model. The record is from RNAcentral.
CCUACGGGAGGCAGCAGUGAGGAAUAUUGGUCAAUGGACGAGAGUCUGAACCAGCCAAGUAGCGUGAAGGAUGACUGCCCUAUGGGUUGUAAACUUCUUUUAUAUGGGAAUAAAACGUUCCACGUGUGGGAUUUUGUAUGUACCAUAUGAAUAAGCAUCGGCUAACUCCGUGCCAGCAGCCGCGGUAAUACGGAGGAUCCGAGCGUUAUCCGGAUUUAUUGGGUUUAAAGGGUGCGUAGGUGGGUUGUUAAGUCAGGUGUGAAAGUUUGGGGCUCAACCGUAGCAGUGCAGUUGAAACUGGCAGUCUUGAGUACAGUAGAGGUAGGCGGAAUGCGUGGUGUAGCGGUGAAAUGCAUAGAUAUCACGAAGAACUCCGAUUGCGAAGGCAGUUCACUGGACUGCAACUGACGCUGAGGCGCGAAAGUGUGGGGAUCAAACAGGAUUAGAUACCCGAGUAGUC